CCUAGCAAAGGCAGGCUUCCCAGGCCCUCCUGAAAGCAGCAGUAACUGGGAGUAGAAGUACUCAUCAGCCAGCUUGCCAACAAGUGGAGAAGCAGUUUGACACCUCAAGAGGAGCCAGGGCAUGAUGAAAAGCCAGGACAGAUGAAAAAGGAAAUAGAUGGCAAGAGAAAAUGGAAAGCCAAGAGAAGAGGCUGUAAAGGUUCAUAGAAGAGAACAUAAAGGUGCGGACAGUCACGGAGUUGUCAUGUCUUCAGAGCCAAGUGUCAGGAUCCAGACUGAGAGCUGUAACAUUGGCUACUGCCAGUGGCCAAGUUGUUUAGGAUCCUGAGGCACACGGGAACUGAGACUCUUGUAGGUCAAGGUAGUCUACGUGCCUCAAGCGGACUGGGCACCACUCCCAUGCUCUCUUCCCUAUUGCUACUGUUCACUAUUGCUGAACACUGGGGAAGCAAAUGCCACCAUUCAAGACUCUUGUCUUGCCCCGCUAUGUUCCGUGCAGAAGUACAGCAAAAGAACCAUCAGAUUGGUGACAUCUGAAUAUAAUGUCUUUGCGUAAAUAAUCAAGGACAACCAUUCUCCUGGAGUCUUCCUUCCCGGUAAAUCUCUUGAGUGAGGUUUGCUGUGCAAUGUGACACUGUCCUUGGAACAGAGCCCAGCUGUGACAACUUUCACAAGAGCUGGAGCAGAAAGGAGCAGAGCAGAGAUGUAACACUUUCGUUUGGGGAAACUUUCGCCGACACUCCAGCAAUUGACCCUCCUGUGAAUCCACUAACGACUUCACUGGGGAAAAAAGGACCUCAAGCUGUAAAUAUACAUAAUUUAAUCAUUCCCAAGACCUGUCAUUUUCGUAGAAGAUCCCAGACAAAUGCUCCACAAGGUCUUUGCUUCAGGACCAAUGUCAGAAACGUGAAUGAUCACUUGUUUUCCAAGAAUAUCAUCCUCAUGGAGUCAUUAGAAGAAAAUUAUUCUUCCUGCCUUCAUUUCUUCUUUGUAUUUACUGACUUGGCAAUUUUAGUUCAACUGUUAAUUGUAAAUAAUCAUA
Molecule: long non-coding RNA, 1042 nt
Organism: Mesocricetus auratus (golden hamster)
Lineage: Eukaryota; Metazoa; Chordata; Mammalia; Rodentia; Cricetidae
Exons: 4
Source: RefSeq, a predicted model, not a curated record